GAUGAACGCUGGCGGCGUGCCUAAUACAUGCAAGUCGAGCGAACGGACGAGAAGCUUGCUUCCCUGAUGUUAGCGGCGGACGGGUGAGUAACACGUGGAUAACCUACCUAUAAGACUGGGAUAACUUCGGGAAACCGGAGCUAAUACCGGAUAAUAUUUUGAACCGCAUGGUUCAAAAGUGAAAGACGGUCUUGCUGUCACUUAUAGAUGGAUCCGCGCUGCAUUAGCUAGUUGGUAAGGUAACGGCUUACCAAGGCAACGAUGCAUAGCCGACCUGAGAGGGUGAUCGGCCACACUGGAACUGAGACACGGUCCAGACUCCUACGGGAGGCAGCAGUAGGGAAUCUUCCGCAAAGGGCGAAAGCCUGACGGAGCAACGCCGCGUGGGUGAUGAAGGUCUUCGGAUCGUAAAACUCUGUUAUUAGGGAAGAACAUAUGUGUAAGUAACUGUGCACAUCUUGACGGUACCUAAUCAGAAAGCCACGGCUAACUACGUG
Molecule: ribosomal RNA, 497 nt
Filed under: uncultured bacterium
Lineage: Bacteria
Description: partial 16S ribosomal RNA
Rfam family: Bacterial small subunit ribosomal RNA
Source: RNAcentral